UUUCUAUUUCAUUGGUUUCUCCCUUUCAGAUUUAUUGAGUUUAUAUGAAUUUUUCAUGUUGGUUUGUCAUUGCACCAUAGUCGCUGUUAGAUUCUGCGGAUGAGACUUUUACUUCGAGUGUUUAUUUUGAUGUGUAUUUGCACUGAUCCUUGGCCUAGGAUUGCAAGUGUAUGCUAAUGCCAUCACGUCGAAGAGUCUUUGAAUAGUUUUAAGAUGCUCGUUUUGAUGGCUGAUUUAAUCUUUGGAUAUUAGAUUGCUUGUCUUAUUAAGAGUUACAUAGUAUAGUUUGUUUUACUGGCUGCUGGGUUUUAGCUUUAUUUUUGUUUGUUGUUGCUUCUUCAAAUCCCUAAAUGUUUCUCUGUUGAACCUGCUCUACUGAAUUUCGAUAAUCUUUUCAAUAUUUAUUUGGCUUUCCUAAACAGUUCUAUCGUUGAUUGAGGUACAUUGUUUGGACACCAUAGCGUUAGGAAAAUGGUUUAUUCAUUUGUGUUCGUCUAAUGAUCUAGUUUGGUUGGAUCGAUUAGCAACGAAAUGGUGUCUUGGUAGCUAUUGUUCAACAAGAUUUUGGAAUCUGUUACUAGCUUUGGGAGUCUUAACUCAUUUUCCUUAAUUCUCAUUUCUUGAAGCAAACCUACUCUUAAAUUGAGGAUUCAUGGACACUACAAUGACUGUUUAAGUUCUCUGUUCUGUGGAAAUGAGAUUCAUGGCUUCUACAAUGAGUGUUUUUGUCAUCUAUUCUGUUGAAAAUGAGAGUUAUGGUUGUUUGUUGCAUUUUGAAAUUGCAAAGUAUGACCUUGUCUUCAAAAUAUGUAUUUGAACUCUCUGAAAGGACAAGUCUUAAUAAUGAAGACUUAAUACUUAACUCAAAGAAACCGUCUUCCGGUUUUAGAAGAAACUGUGCUUAUACAAGUAAUUAGGGAAUUUGGUGUUAUCGUUGGAUAUUCAAGGUUGGAAGCUAGUAUCAUUUAUUAACUUGGUGAUAUGAUCCUAUUGUUUGUGUAGUUAUUUUUCAUAGUUAUGAAUUUUAUCAUUUAAUUAUGUAUUCAUAUGCUUGCUCGAAUUGCUUAUAGUUGAACAUGAUUUUGUUACGGUAUAGAAAUUGGGUUGCUAUUCAUCAACUGAGCUAUGUAAUGAGAUUAAAGGAACCGGAGGUGCAUUUCAUGUGACCCGGCUCCAUUUUCGAACACGGUUAAAUAAAGCGGGUUGUGAACCACGGGUGCAUUUUAUGUACGUGGCUUGCGAUAUGUUUUAAAUAACCUUGAAUUUUUCUUAAAUAAAUAAAAAUAGUUUGAAAGUUUAUGGACCUCCAAAUAUAGUUCUCUUUUAAAUUAUAAUAUGGGCACGCCAUGCCAAACAAAAAAUGAAUAUCGUAUUGCCCUCGUUUUAAUUAAGCUUGAUUUAAUAAAUAGAAAUCGGGAGCCUUUUAGCGUAUUUUCACGGCCUCCCGCAAAGUUAAUAACACGUUAGCCGCUUUAGGAUCGUUCAUUAAUAAUCUUACCUUCUUAAAUUCGGGCACGCAUUUAUGUGACCCAAAUCCAAAUCUCAACGAUAUUAAAAUAUUUCAAAAACCACUGGUGCAUUUAUGUGACGUGGUUCGCGACGUAUUUUGAUAGCGUUGCAAUUCUCUUCCUAAUAAUCAUAAUAAAAGCGACUAAAAGGUAAAGAUUUGCACAUAGCUUCAUAAUUGUUUAAAAUCAGAUAAAUUAAGCCAUGUAUGAUAGUUGAGUGACCGUGCUAGAACCACAGAACUCGAGAGUGCCCAACACCUUCUCCCAAGUUAUCAGAAUUCCUUACCUGUAUUUCUGGUUCGCGGAUUGUUAAAUAGAGUCAACUUCUCCUCGAUUUAGGAUUUGACCGGUGAGUUGGGACACCAUAAAUCUCCCGAGUGGCGACUUUGAAAUCUGUUAAAUAAAUAAAUCCCGCUUCGAUUGUCCUUUAAUUGGAAAACUCCCUUAACUAUGCCCUUUGCGGCGUUGUAGUGUCCAAAAGGAGGUGUGACAGCUCUGGCGACUCCGCUGGGGAUCAAAUCCAGAAUCUCUGGUUUCACAGGGUUCAAAGAAUUCGAUCUUAGAAUAAUUGUUAUAUUUGGCUUUAUUUAUUAUCUGUUGUUUUCAUUUUUACAUGUUGACUUAAUGUGCAAAAUCAUGCUUUUACCGCUUUGAUAUUAUUUGAACUGUACAUAUAAACUGUUACGAAACCCUUCUCUUUUUAUCUUUGGAGAUGUGAUCACUGGUCCAGACUCCCUAUUCUGUUAGUGUCAUACCUUGAAAUAAGAAAGAGACUCGGACAAAUUACUAAGCCAGAUAAUCUUUCGGGUCCCCGGUACGUAGUCCCCUCCUCGACUCGAGUUGUCCUCUCGGGUACACAAGUCUAGAACAAAUGCCCAAGUUUUGAACUUAGAAUAACUCAGCCUCAUGCCAGAUCCUUAGUAGGAACGCUUAUUUGCAUCAUGUAUUUGACUUAGGGGACUCAACACAGGGGUUGGGUCCGCAGGUGUACCCAAAAUAACAGACCAUCUUGAUGCAUCAUAUGUGCUCCAUGUUGCAUUUAUUCAAGGGUAAAAGGGUCAUUUGGCGGACCAAUGAUAGACGAGGGCAAAUGAAAAAUGAAAAAAAAAGAAAAAAAGAAAAAAGUAAAGAGAGGGUGAACUGUGAAAAUAAAGCAAGUAGGGUCUAGUUAUGUUUUUGUUAUAUUUUUUAUCAAAAAAAGAAGAGACAAAAGAUAUACGAAAAAUUCAAAAAAGAUUUUGCACCUUUUCAUCAUUUUCUGAAAAUAAAAAAGGGAAAUAGAAAAUUCAAAAAGGUUUUGCAUGUUCCAACAUUUUAUAAGAAAAAAAAUAUUUUCUCGAAAUUAGCUGUUUUUUUUAUUCUUGCCCGUAUGUAAUUUGCCCGAACUACGCAAACCUGAUUCUUGUCUUUCGGAGCAUGUUACGUAGGCAACCCACAUAGGAUCCGGUCUUGCUAGUAAAUCUUAGGUUCUUGGAUUUGCAGGGUCUCGGCCAAAUUUUGCACUUCUAGUCACUUUUUGGCUAAAUAAGUCAUUUUGCAAAAAUAUCCCAACCAUGUCUUGCAUGUGUCUAAUAGGGAAUGUUAUUGUCUCACAUAGUGUUGAUUUAAGUUUUUUAUACAGUUGUGGAUUUACUUAUUGGAGUUUGAGCAUGGCAGAUACCCAAGGACCACUGUAUUCAGGAGUUCCUUGAGGAGAUUUAUUUUUAUACUUCCUUUAUGUAUGUUAGGACCAAGAUUCAAGAAAAAAAAAAGAGAAUUUUUAAGGUGUUAAUUUCAACAUACAAAAAGAUUUUCUUUUGAGGUGCUUCUUUGGGAAAUUAGUGAAAAAUAAAAAAAAUCUUUUAUUUUAUUAGAACUUUAGGAUAUUGCACAUAGAAGAAAAAGACAACAUACUCUAUCUUGAGUUUAUUUUCAGAGUUUCUCUUUUAGGCAAUUAAAAUCGAAAUCCAAAAAUAUUUUUUAUUGCUUGUUUCGAAAUCUUGCGUCAGGAUAUCAAAUGGAAAUGAAAAUGAUCGAGCACUGAUAGAAAAGCAAAGAAAAGAGAGGAUUGAAAUGAAAAUUGGGAUGAUGCCAACUGACCUUCGUACACCCGAAGCCAUAUUAGAACCGAUAAAUAUGGCUAGUGCAUUGCAUUAAAUGUGAUAUUUUUAGCUGUUAAAUGUCCUAACGCUAACAUGAUGGCUUCAUUUGGUUCCUCUUUGUUCUCCUCAUCAUAGCAGAAGGGUGGUUGGUUUGCAGUUCUCAAGAUAACUCGUCCAUACAACACCAGGUCAAAGGGCAAGGUAGCCAUGGCUAGUAAUAACCUGGGCACGAGAGUUGUUGACUAUCAAGGGAGGUUGCGUAGUCAGAGUCUGAAUUGAAAUAGGAGGUCCAAAGGAAGAAACAACAUAUGGCAGAAAUGUACCAGUCUUGGAUCAGGGGGCGAUAGAAAAGCAAAGAAAAGAGAGGAUUGAAAUGAAAAUUGGGAUGAUGCCAACUGACCUUCGUACACCCGAAGCCAUAUUAGAACCGAUAAAUAUGGCUAGUGCAUUGCAUUAAAUGUGAUAUUUUUAGCUGUUAAAUGUCCUAACGCUAACAUGAUGGCUUCAUUUGGUUCCUCUUUGUUCUCCUCAUUAUAGCAGAAGGGUGGUUGGUUUGCGGUUCUCAAGAUAACUCGUCCAUACAACGCCAAGUCAAAGGGAAAGGUAGCCAUGGCUAGCAAAAACCUGGGCACGAGAGUUGUUGACCCGUCAAGGGAGGUUGCGGAGUCAGAGUCUGAAUUGAUAGAGGAGGUCCAAAGGAUGAAACAACAGAUGGUAGAAAAGUAUUAGUCUUGGAUCAUGGGGCAUCCUCUACCUUCAUAGCCCACUAACUACACUGAAAACCCUGCAACUAUCUCAUAACUAUCAGAAAUCCAGAUUCCCACUGUUGUUUAUAUCUCCCCAUAACCCUUUUACACUCUACCUGCCAAAACCACCUCAUAUGCCGCUCCUUUGGCCACUCAUGCUCUUGUAGCCCCUCCACCAGUCACUUUUCUUCAAUCCUUUAACGAGACAGUGCUCAAAGUCCCCGAUGCCCAACACUAUGCUCCAGAACUUUUAAAUUCUCGGAUCCAUACUCUCACGCCCCUCAUUUUGAAUGUCCUGGUGAAACUCAAAAGCCUGGUAAGAUAGUGGAGCAAGAUGAGAUAUCCUGGAAGGAUAAAAUCUUAAAGCAGUCUUUAAGAAAAAUGCAAGGGAUAGGGAGCCAGAUGAGUGUGUCUUAAAAAUACUUGUGUUUGUUCCCUGAUGUCCAACUGCCUGCUGGGUUUAAGAUGACAAUGUUUGAUUUGUAUGACGGGCACGGGGAUCGCGUAACCUAUUUGAGAGGUUGCUGCAGUAAGAUAAGAGGCGCCAUGAAAAGAAAAAUUAUUGAUUGCGUAUUUCAGUCAGAGUCUGAGUGGGGUAGCUCUGGAGUGGUACACCUGCCAAGAUGCUAAUAGGUGGUACACGUGGGGCGAUAUGGCUCAAGCCUUGCCAGGAACUUUCAGUAUAAUAUAGAAAUCAUUCCGAAUCGCAGGUCCCUCGCUAAGAUGGAAAAGAAGCCUAAUGAAAGCUUUAGGGAGUAUGGGCUCAUAUAGAGAGAGCAAGCUACCAGAGUCGAUCCCCCGAUGAAUGAAAAAGAGAUGGUCGACUACUUUCUUGAAGCUCAAGAACCAACUUACUUUGGACAUUUGAUUACAGUUGUCGGUAGGCCGUUUAAUGAUGUGAUAAAAAUAGGAGAGAUGGUAUAAGAUGGGAUGAAGUCAAGAAAGAUCAUGAACUAUUCUACUUUUAAUGCAACAACACAAGUAAGUCAGAACGACACAGGCAGCUUGUUGUGUCAGAAGGAACACGAUGAUGUUGCCAUGGUUGUUUCAGAUUCACCACAUGGACCAAAGGGUCCGCUUCACAAUUACACCCGGCCUCAACUCCAACCCCAAAGGUAUCCUCGAGCUCCACAUAAUCCACCUCAGUAUUAUCCUCCGAAUAAUGUCUGGUUAUCUGUCCAACCACCAAGUCACUCCCUAUGGUGAGCACCAACACCGUAUAAUGCAUACUUACCUUCACAUCAUUUUUGAGACCCCAACAACCCUAGAAAAUAGGGGUAGGGAAGAGAAUAAAGGCAAAGAAAUAGUUUCACGAUAAUUGGGGAGUCCUACACAAGCUUAUUUGAAAAGCUAAGGCGUGCUAGCCUGAUAGAGCCGCUCCUCGGCUAUACUCCAGACCCAUAUGCAAAAGGCUUUGAUUCUACUGUCCGAUGCAUGUACCACUCUAGUGUCCAAGUCCAUAGAAUUGAAGAUUGUCGUUCUUUGAAAAGGGAAAUAGCAAGAAUGAUUCAAGAAGGGGUAAUUGUGAUCGAUGACAGUGACAAGGAGCACACAAAUCUUCUUGGGAACUUGUUGAAUGAAGUUGAUGAUAUUGAAGCUGAUCAUGGCAAUAUUGUCUUGGAACCUAGUGGCUAAGAUGUCGUGCUUGGUUAUUGGAAAGAUGCUCCAUUUCUGGGUCAGUCGGAGAGGAGUUUUGGUGGUUUAUUUUAUUGUCAUUUAUGUUGUCCCGGUUAUUUUUAUGGUUGUAAUCCGGACAUUGUCUUGUUAUUCAAAACCAUUCUAUCCUUUUAGUUUGCCUAGUUUGUCUUUCUUAGUAACUCGUUUAGUGUUGCAUAGGUUCGUUCCAGGGGUGUAACCCCUUUUUAUUUUACUUCUUUUUUGUUCAAACUCUUUCACCAUCUGUCUAAUGCAGUUUUCUACUUUAUGUUAUUUCUAGUCAUUUUGUUUAGUUUUCUUUUAUUUUUUCAAUUAUUUUCCUAAUUGGCUCUAGUGACAUGACAUGCAUGCGUAAUUCUCAGCCUGGUAUUAAAAAGAUAGUUCAGUCAUGAAGCAAUGAAACAAUUUUGAAGAUGCAAGGAUAUUUGAGGAAAAUAAGUGAAGGCAUUUUGAGAUCACUUUAAGCCCAAAUUGUGUGAAACUGGGACAGAUAGAACAUAAAGAAAUAUUAUUGAAAUGCAUUAUGACACAUCGGGUUGAAGCCAAAGGAAAGUUUGCCCAAUUUGACUGCGGUCGUUCGUGGUAUGGAGAGUGAGAGUGUUGUCCGACGGGGCUUUGUAUUCCCCCAGAUAUAGAAGGCGAAUGUGUUGAUAUGGUUAUCAAGUCUGGUAUGAUCAAAAUGAUUUGAAUGUUUUCUGUGGUUUGUUUAAUUGUAUUGUUUGUACUUGGCAUGUUUUGGAGAUUUUAACGAAGGCAUUUUGUUCUGCUAUCUAAACACGUUAUCCUUCGUUAACCCUUUGAGCCUUAUUUAUUUUAUUUCAUACUCCUUGUUUGGAAUCAAUAGCAAAGAGAAAAAACACAAGCACGGAAGAUAAGUGAAAAAAGAGAAAAGGGAAAGAAUAAAAAGAGAAAGAAAAAAAAGAAAAGAGAAGGAAAACAACAAAAACAAAAAAAAAAACCAAAAAACGGAAAGACGGGAAAGGGAAAAGGAAAAUAAAAAUAAAAAAAGAGAGCAAUUAUUAUAUCACAAACUACGUUUGAUCUAAUUCUUUUCAAGGAUACAUAGGCAGCCUCAUGGUUCGGUCCUAUCAAAAUAAAAAUCCAAAAGCCCCCUCGCAAAGAAACUAGGGCAGAUGUUGUGGUUAUGUAAAAGACCUGAUUCCAAAGAUUGUAAUUUUGAACCUGUUCAAAUUGUUUUGAGCCUUCGUGAUACCCUUUCUUUAUAACCAUAUCCAAAAGCCCAUAUUACGGUCCAAUGAAAGGUCAUCCGAUCAUUCUUCGAGAGAUGCCAAGUCGAGCAAGUAGGAUGAUUCAUAUCAAGGGAAACAUUUUGGUCCAAGCAGAAAAACCAUGAUAAUAAGAGAGUCUUAUUGGUGAAAACUUUCACAAGCACCAUAAGGUAAUGGUGAGUUAAAAAAAAAAGAACAAAAUGAGAGAGACUUGAUGGUGAAAAACCUUCAGGCACCACAAGUCGAAUAAGGAUUGUGAUUAGAUUGAAUAAUUGGGGCAUUGAGGCCCAGUUUCAUGGCUUAGGGGUAUAACAAGAGCUGGAAGUCAAACUUGCUUGACAGAAUAAGUCGUAGGUACAUGUCAUGGUCAUUAGAGUUGGUAUCCACAUUUGAUAGGUUUCUAGUCUUUUGUUUUUGGUUAAGAAUCAUCUCCUUUCAUUGUCCUCUACUCUGUUCCUUUUGUAUUGAUUACUUCCACUUCCUAAGUCUGUUUGGUCAGAGCAAGUGAUAAAUGACUUCAAAAUUUGCCAUCAGCUUUCCAAUUGCACAUAAUGGGACAUGGUCAACACAUCAAAGUGUCAUAAGUCAGGAAAGAACAACAAGCACGCUGAGCAGGUAACAAUAAACAUGCUCUAAGAUUCAUGUGAAAUACAAAGGUUUGGUAUAUAUCAAUUCAUGAAAAAUGCGACAGAUAGAGGAUGUUGGGUGAACUGAUCAAAUGUAUUUUCUUUGAUGAGGUUGACAGAGAAGGUGGCUAACCAAUAAAAAGCAAGGUCUUCAGAGUAAAAAUCAAAGUUGUCAUGGCAAGUGAAGGAGCGAUAGACCUCAAGGCCAAGGCCAGUGGUUUGAGUCAGGAAAGACAUCAUACACAUCUAGUUGUUGGAUAUUGACGUGAUUUGGGAUUCAUGCAUCACAAAAGGGUUUGGUAAAUAUAAGUUCAUGAAGGGUAUUGGGUAUGAACGGAGAAAAGGUAAUUGUUGUGAUAAGGGUGAAAGAGAAAUUGGUUAGUCAAUAAACAAGCAAUGUCUUUCAAGGUUAAAUAAAAAUUAUCAUGGCAAGUGAAGGAGCAAUCGCCCUCAAAUUCAAGGCCACAAACCAACUACCAUGUUCAAACUCACAAGUUUUCUUUGUCUGAAAUAGAGAUGGAAGUUGUGUUCAUAUCAAAGCUUGGAAGCUUGAAAUUUUCAAGUGUAAUGCCCCAAUUAUGCAUACACAAAGGCAAUUGAGAAGGUCACACAUCAUCCCCAAGAGAUGCACUUCCUAGUCUGAGCAGUUCAGGUUGUAUUUUUGAUUUAGGAGAAGCACUUCCUAGUUGAGAGUUCAUUCAUAGGAGAUGCACUUUCUGGUUUAAGUCAUUGAAGUGCCACCCCUAGGAGACGCACUUCCUAGUCUGGCUUUUCCAGUUAUUUAAUUUUAGGAGACGUACUUCCUGAACUGAGAUUUCACCCCUAGGAGAUGCACUUCCUAGUUUGAGUCAUUUAAGUUCGACCCUAGGAGACACACUUCCUAGUCUGAUUCAUUGAAGUUUCACCCUUAUAAGACGCACUUCCUAAGUUUAUUUUCACUCAUAGGAGACGUACUUCCUAGUAUGAGUCAUUGAAGUUUUACCCUUAGGAGACGCACUUCCUAAGUUUAUUUUUACCUAUAGGAGACACACUUCCUAAGUUUAUUUUUACCUAUAGGAGACGCUAUCCCUAAUUUAAGAGAUUAUUCAUAGGAGACGCACUUCCUAGUUUGAAUCAUUGAAGUUUUACUUAUAGGAGAUGCACUUACUAUCUUUGGUCAUUUAAAUUCAUUCAUAGGAGACACACUUACUAGUUUGAGUAAUUGAAGUUUUACCCAUAGGAGAUGCACUUCCCAAAUUAAGAGUUUAUUCAUAGGAGACACACAUCCUAGUUCGAAUCAUUGAAGUUUUACUUAUAGGAGAUGCACUUCCUAGAUUUGGUCAUUUAAAUUCAUUCAUAGGAGACACACUUUCUAGUUUGAGCAAUUGAAGUUUUACUUAUAGGAGACGCACUUCCUAGCUUUGGUCAUUUAAAUUCUUUCAUAGGAGACACACUUUCUAGUUUGAGUAAUUGAAUUUUUACCCAUAGGAGACACACUUCCUAAAUUAAGAGUUUAUUCAUAGGAGUCACACUCCCUAGUCUGAAUAAUUAAAGUUUUACUUAUAGGAGACACACUUCCUAGCUUUGGUCAUUUAAAUACAUUCUUAGGAGGCGCACUUCCUAGUCUUAGUCAUUUAAAUUCACCCCUAGGAGACGCACUUCCUAGCUUGGUUCAUUCAUGUUUUAUUUUAGCAGACACACUUGCUAGUCAAAGUUUUGGUUUUACCCCUAGGAGACGCACUUCCUAGUCUUAGUCAUUUAAGUUCACCCUUCGGAGAAGCACUUCCUAGACUUAAGUCAUUUAAAUUCACCCAUAGGAGACGUACUUCCUAGUUUGGUUCAUUCAUGCUUUACUUUAGCAAACACACUUCCUAGUCAAAGUUUUGGUUUUGCCCAUAGGAGACACACUUCCUAGUCUUAGUCAUUUGAAUUCAUCACUAGGAGACGCACUUCAUAGACUUGGUCAUUUAAAUUCACCCAUAGGAGACGUACUUCCUAGUUCGGUUCAUUCAUGUUUUACUUUAGCAAACACACUUCCUAGUCAAAGUUUUGGUUUUACCCAUAGGAGACGCACUUCCUAGUCUUAGUCAUUUAAAUUCAUCACUAGGAGACGCACUUCCUAGACUUGGUCAUUUAAAUUCACCCCUAGGAGACACACUUCUUAGUUUGGUUCAUUCAUGUUUUAUUUUAGCAGACGCAUUUUCUUGUCAAAGUCUUUGUUUUACUAAUAGGAGACGCACUUCCUAGGUUUAGUCACUAAAGUUUUCACCCCUAGGAGACACACUUCCUAGUCUUGGUCAUUUAAUUUCAUCCAUAUGAGACACAUUCCUACCCUUGACUCUCCUGAAUAAUAGGAUGUAACUUUAACUAGCAAACCCCAGCAGAGACAACCGAGAGUUAGAAUUGGCAUUUAAUUUGAAUCCUCAGGACCCUCCUGGAAAAUGGGACCUAGUUAAAACUCAACAAGGAACAUAAUCUGACAUAAAAAUUCUCCCCAGCAAGAGUAUAAUGGAACAAAACUUUAAUUAGCAACCCCCAGCAGAGACAACCAAGAGUUAAAAGGGGCAUGCAAGUUGAAAUUUUCAAAACCCUCCUAGAAAUGGGACUCAAGUUAAAACUCAAACAGGCACGGGUACCAUGGGCAGGUACAAACACCUUCCUCAGUAUGAGUUGUCGGAACUCGCCUGAAUAAUGAUCCCCAUCAGAAACAACAAGAAAUUAGAAUUGGCAUUUAAUUUAGAACCCUCAAGACACUCCUACAAAAUGGAACUUAUCUAAAGGUUAAAGGUAAUCACGGAUAGUGGAGGGCAUAAAAUGACUUGCAUGUUGAAAUAGGAUUCAGUUAAGAGUUGUCAGAACCCUCCUAGAAAAUGGGACUCAGGAUAAAACUUAUACAGUCUUGGGUAACAUGGUCAAACCUAAAUAUUCCCCCAACAAGAGUCAUAAGGACCCUCAUGGAUAAUGGGAUCUCAUUGUAGGAGUUGUCAGGACCCCCUGGAUAAUGGGACAUGGCUCUAAAUACUAACCCCCAACAUACACAUUUUUUCAUCCAGUUAAGAGUUGUCAGGACCCGCAUGUAUGAUGGGAAGUAGCUUUAAUAACUGGUCCCCAGUAGAUCCCCAACAGAUAUCUCAGAUAAAAAGACUUAGUGGAAAAUAAUACCUUUUGAGAAACAUAACCUUACCUUUAAAGCUAUCAUUAGUUAAGAGUUAUCAAAGCCCUCCUGGAUAAUGGGAUUUAGCUUUCAAAUUUUAGAGAUAUUUGGUAACAAGAUUUGAUAAACACUCAAAGAUUCACCCAGCACCAAACUGGGGCGACACAAAUUUCUUUUGUUUUGUUUAAUUCGUUGUGAUCAGGUACAAAGGCUGCAGUCUCAGGGAAUACAUUUCUAGUUUCAAGUCUUGGUAAUCUAGCACCCACCCGAAGAACAAGGGAAUACAUUUCAAAUUUCAAGUUUUGGUAAUCAGGCGCUUACCUGGAGAACAAGGGAAUACAUUUCAAGUUUCAAGUUUUGGGUAAUCAGGUGCUACCUAGAGAACAAGGGAAUACAUUCCAAGGUUCAAACGUUGUCAAUCAGGCGUCACCUGGAGAAUAAGGGAAUUCACUUUAGAAUACGACUCAAGUCAGCAACAAAAGAAGCUCGUGGCAAGAAUGCAAGUCAACAGUUUGAGGUGAAAGAAAAAUAAAAAAAACAAAGCAAGAAAUUAAUCCAAAUGAAAAGCAGAUGAAAGAUGUGAACUUUUCAAGGCAUGGUUUAGGUCGCAAGCGCUACAUGUUCCGUCUUAAUUCGAAAAGCUGAAGAAGAAAGAGCUAGUACUUGCAGCUAAUAAGCGUCAAGGUUGAAAUUAAAGUCUGAAUGAAGAACCACUCAAAACUAAAGAUCAAGCUUCAGAAGACUUAUAGAUAGGAAUCUUGUAACUCAUAGUUGACAGGCUUAGCUAGUCUUUUUCAUUCUUUUGAUUUGGAUGUAAUAACAGGAUCCUUGACCGGAACCUCGACGAAAUGGCACCUGACCGGUUCUUCACCUCGGCAUACUUCUUCAUCUCACUCACUUCUGAUCUAUACUAACCUGAUUCCUUUAUAGCCAAGGAUAUGUAGGCAACCUUGGAAGCAAGGUUCGCUCAAAUAUUUCAAAAAUUCUUCCCAUGGGGUAUCCAAAUGAGCAAAAAUCGCUCGUAUCCGCUCGCUUUAUCUUUGCACGAAAACCCUUCGCGUUUUCGAGCAAAUAGGGGCAGCUGUGAGCACGUGAUAUUUGCCCUACAGGAGAAUAACUCCUAAAAAUAGACCAAAAUAAUUUUAAUUAGGGUUUAGGUAUUUUUCUUUAUUUAGUUGGAUUUCAUGCAUUUUUAAUAUAUUUAAAAUCACAGAAAAAAUCAUAAAAAGUGUUACAUUUUAAUUUCAUGCCACCUUAGGUUCAAUUUGCAUUUUGAAAUUAAUUACGUUGAGUUAAUUGGGUUAUUAAUAAAAAAAUCACAAAAACUGGUUAAUUUUGCACUUUUAAUUUUAAUCUUUGAAUUUUGGUAGUUUUCCAUUUAAUUUGGUUUUAAUUAGUUGCAGUAAGUAUUAGUUGUAGUUAUUAGUUUAAUUUGAAAAUAAUUUUACUAAGAAUUCAUUUAGGUGUUACUUUUAGUUUUAUUCUAAAAGAAAUUAGAAAAAAAUAUGAAAGCAAAAGAAGUGAAUCAGAUUUUUGGGCUGAUCUUUACUUCUAUUUUUAAGACCAAUGCAAUUUUUCUUUAAAACCCAACAAAAAACAAGCCCAGACCCGCAUGACCCAACCCGAUCCAUUUUACCCCUCCCACACUUAAAACCCUAAUCCCCUUCCCCAUUCAAAAUGGGACAAAAUCGGAUCCUAGACUUCAAGAGAAGAAAAGCGGGUAAAGCUUGAAGAGGACCCCUGUUCCUGGCUUCAUCUUUUCAUAAUUACGCCCCCACCCGAUUUCUCAUCUUCUCCACACACAUAGAGAGUCACACGUUAGAGAUUCACCUUCAUAGACUUUAGGUCUAGCAUGUCAUUCACUCACUAUCGAAGAGAACCAAAGUGAAUUCGAAUUGUAUUUUGGAUUUGGAAAUAUAACCCUUCAAAGACUGAAAACAAGGAUAGAAACAAAUGGGAAUUUUGGGAUUUCUUGAGGAUUUUGUUGAUUCAUAUGGUUUUCCAGUAAAGAUCAGUCCGUCGAUGCCGACUCGAGUUCAUUGUUGAGUUUUGGUCGCGGUUCCUGCUGAAUCUCAAUUUUGUUUUCAUUUCAAGUGUGUCGCCAAGUCUUCUUCUGCUUGUAAUCAUUUCAACCAAUUUAAUCGAAAGAAUUUUCAGACAUUCUGAUGGUAAAUUUAUUAUCAAGGUCACUGAUGAAUACGAGUCAAAGUUUUGUUCGAGAUGUGGUUUGUUGUUCUGAUUCUGGUUUGUGAUUCCAAGCUGAAAUGUCUCUGAGAAUUAUGGGCAGGAAUCAUCGAGUUGUUUAACCUUCUUGUGAUUAAAAUUGGUGAAUAUAAGCCAAGGACCAUUCGAGAAGACGAGUCAAUUUCCGGCUAUAAUUAUUGCUUCAUUUCAGUUCGUAUAAAUUGCAGGUUCAUUUCUAUUUCAUUGGUUUCUCCCUUUCAAUUUUAUGGAGUUUAUAUGAAUUUUUAGUGCUGGUUUGUCAUUGCACCUUAGUCGCUGUUAGAUUUUGCGAAUGAGACUCUUACUUCUAGUGUGUUGAGUUAAUAUGAUUUUUUUAUGUUGGUUUGUCAUAGCACCUUAGUCGCUGUUAGAUUCUGCAGAUGAGACUCUCACUUCGAGUAAUUUUUUCGUUGUGUAUUUGCACUGAUCCGUGGCCUAGGAUUGCAAGUAUAUGCUAAUGCCAUCGCGUCGAAGAGUCUUUGAAUAGUUUUUAGAUGCUUGUUUCGAUGACUAAUUUAAUCUUUGGAUAUGAGAUUGCUUUUCUAAUUAUGAGUUACAUAGUAUUAGUUUGUUUUGCUGGCUGCUGGGUUUUAGCUUUAUUUUUGUUUGUUGUUACUUCUUCAAAUCUGUAAAUAUUUCUCUGUUGAACCUGCUCUACUGAGUUUUGAUUAUCUUUUCAGCAUUUAAUUGGCUUUCCUAAACAGUUUUGUCAUUGAUCGAGGUACAUUGUUUGGAAACCAUAGCGUUAGGAAAAUGGUUUGUUCAUUUGUGUUCGUCUAAUGAUCCAGUUUGGUUGGAUCGAUUGGCAAUGAAACCAUGUCUUGGUAGCUACUGUUCAACAAAAUUUUUGAAUCUGUUACUAGAUUUGGGAGUCUUUACUCAUUUUCCUUAAUUCCCAUUUCUUGAAGCAAAUAUGCUCUUAAAUUGAGGAUUCAUGGCCACUAUAAUGACUGUUUAAGUUGUCUGUUAUGUGGAAAUGAGAUUCAUGGUUGCUACAAUGACUGUUUAUGUUGUCUAUUCUGUUGAAAAUAAGAGUCAUGGCUGUUUUUUGCAAUUUCUACAAGUAUGACCUUUUCUUCA
RNAcentral lists this long non-coding RNA (14282 nucleotides) under Nicotiana benthamiana. RNAcentral describes it as "long non-coding RNA (NBEN_LNC029143)". Lineage: Eukaryota; Viridiplantae; Streptophyta; Magnoliopsida; Solanales; Solanaceae. The record is from RNAcentral.